RNAcentral lists this ribosomal RNA (497 nucleotides) under uncultured bacterium. Its description in RNAcentral is "partial 16S ribosomal RNA". It matches the Rfam family "Bacterial small subunit ribosomal RNA", at positions 28 to 507 of the family's 1533-position model. The record is from RNAcentral.
GAUGAACGCUGGCGGCGUGCCUAAUACAUGCAAGUCGAGCGAACAGACGAGGAGCUUGCUCCUUUGACGUUAGCGGCGGACGGGUGAGUAACACGUGGGUAACCUACCUAUAAGACUGGGAUAACUUCGGGAAACCGGAGCUAAUACCGGCUAAUAUUUCGAACCGCAUGGUUCGAUAGUGAAAGAUGGCUUUGCUAUCACUUAUAGAUGGACCUGCGCCGUAUUAGCUAGUUGGUAAGGUAACGGCUUACCAAGGCAACGAUACGUAGCCGACCUGAGAGGGUGAUCGGCCACACUGGAACUGAGACACGGUCCAGACUCCUACGGGAGGCAGCAGUAGGGAAUCUUCCGCAAUGGGCGAAAGCCUGACGGAGCAACGCCGCGUGAGUGAUGAAGGUCUUCGGAUCGUAAAACUCUGUUAUUAGGGAAGAACAAACGUGUAAGUAACUGUGCACGUCUUGACGGUACCUAAUCAGAAAGCCACGGCUAACUACGUG